This is a non-coding RNA of Pelobates cultripes (western spadefoot toad), 256 nucleotides long. Lineage: Eukaryota; Metazoa; Chordata; Amphibia; Anura; Pelobatidae. The record is from the annotation of a GenBank genome assembly.
AGUGUCCCCCCUGCCCUUGUCCCAUAGUGUCUCCCCCUCCCCUUGUCCCAUAGUGUCCCCCCUCCCCUUGUCCCAUAGUGUCCCCCUCCCCUUGUCCCAUAGUGUCUCCUCCCCUCCCCUUGUCCCAUAGUGUCUCCUCCCCUCCCCUUGUCCCAUAGUGUCUCCCCUCCCUUUCUCCCAUAGUGUCCCCCUCCCCUUGUCCCAUAGUGUCUCCUCCCCUCCCCUUGUCCCAUAGUGUCUCCCCCUCCCCUUGUCC